GUUUGCAGUCAUUCCACCUUUGAGUGUGAUGCCGUCAGAUCUCAUAAGCUAAGCAGGUUUGGGCUUGGUCAACACUUGGAAAGGACACUUCCACCAAAGCUCUAGGUAAGUUAUUU
Chelonoidis abingdonii (Abingdon island giant tortoise) is the source of this 116-nucleotide ribosomal RNA. Lineage: Eukaryota; Metazoa; Chordata; Testudines; Testudinidae. The record is from Ensembl.